RNAcentral lists this ribosomal RNA (492 nucleotides) under uncultured bacterium. RNAcentral describes it as "partial 16S ribosomal RNA". It matches the Rfam family "Bacterial small subunit ribosomal RNA", at positions 29 to 507 of the family's 1533-position model. The record is from RNAcentral.
AGUGAACGCUGGCGGUAGGCUUAACACAUGCAAGUCGAACGGCAGCACAGUAAGAGCUUGCUCUUCCGGGUGGCGAGUGGCGGACGGGUGAGGAAUACAUCGGAAUCUACUUUUUCGUGGGGGAUAACGUAGGGAAACUUACGCUAAUACAGCAUAUGACCUACGGGUGAAAGCAGGGGAUCUUCGGACCUUGCGCGAUUGAAUGCGCCGAUGUCGGAUUAGCUAGUUGGCGGGGUAAAGGCCCAGCAAGGCGACGAUCCGUAGCUGGUCUGAGAGGAUGAUCGGCCACACUGGAACUGAGACACGGUCCAGACUCCUACGGGAGGCAGCAGUGGGGAAUAUUGGACAAUGGGGGCAAGCCUGAUCCAGCCAUACCGCGUGGGUGAAGAAGGCCUUCGGGUUGUAAAGCCCUUUUGUUGGGAAAGAAAAGCAGCAGGUUAAUACCCCGCGGUUCUGACGGUACCCGAAGAAUAAGCACCGGCUAACUACGUG